Long non-coding RNA from Penaeus monodon (black tiger shrimp), 212 nucleotides. RefSeq lists it as uncharacterized. The transcript has 2 exons. The record is from RefSeq and is a predicted model, not a curated record. NCBI's taxonomy places the organism in Eukaryota, Metazoa, Arthropoda, Malacostraca, Decapoda, Penaeidae.
GUGGCUGUGGCAUCGUACCCUCCCUCCCCCUCGUCGACCCCCCAACAUGUGCUGCCCAGUUCGCAACACCUGUCGCAUCAGGUGUUGAAGGAAAUUCCUGUGCUAGAACCUCUUGAUGAUUCAGCUAUUAAAUACGAAUCGUCGAGUUAGGGAAAAUAAAGAAAUAAAGGAGAAAAUAGGAGGGGAAGAAGAAAGAGAAAAAAAAAGAAGAA